Molecule: transfer RNA, 104 nt
Filed under: Thermochaetoides thermophila DSM 1495
Lineage: Eukaryota; Fungi; Ascomycota; Sordariomycetes; Sordariales; Chaetomiaceae
Description: Chaetomium thermophilum var. thermophilum DSM 1495 tRNA
Rfam family: tRNA
About the family: Transfer RNA (tRNA) molecules are approximately 80 nucleotides in length. Their secondary structure includes four short double-helical elements and three loops (D, anti-codon, and T loops).
Source: Rfam by way of RNAcentral
GGCAAGGUGGCCGAGCGGUCCAAGGCGCCACGUUAAGGCAUUUAAACCCUUAAUUCAAGUCCGUGGUCUCGAAAGGGGCGUGAGUUCGAAUCUCACCCUUGUCA